AUGAACGCUGGCUACAGGCUUAACACAUGCAAGUCGCGGGGAAACGACGGGGAAGCUUGCUUCCCCGGGCGUCGACCGGCGCACGGGUGAGUAACGCGUAUCCAACCUGCCUCUGACUGAGGGAUAACCCGUCGAAAGUCGGCCUAAUACCUCAUGGCAUCGUCUGCGGGCAUCCAACGACGAUUAAAGAUUUCAUCGGUCAGAGAUGGGGAUGCGUCUGAUUAGCUUGUUGGCGGGGUAACGGCCCACCAAGGCGACGAUCAGUAGGGGUUCUGAGAGGAAGGUCCCCCACAUUGGAACUGAGACACGGUCCAAACUCCUACGGGAGGCAGCAGUGAGGAAUAUUGGUCAAUGGGCGAGAGCCUGAACCAGCCAAGUAGCGUGCAGGAUGACGGCCCUAUGGGUUGUAAACUGCUUUUAUGCGGGGAUAAAGUGAGGGACGUGUCCUUCAUUGCAGGUACCGCAUGAAUAAGGACCGGCUAAUUCCGUG
Molecule: ribosomal RNA, 490 nt
Filed under: uncultured bacterium
Lineage: Bacteria
Description: partial 16S ribosomal RNA
Rfam family: Bacterial small subunit ribosomal RNA
Source: RNAcentral